CAAGUCGAAUGGCAGCACAGUGUGUAGCAAUACACAUGGGUGGCGAAUGGCGGACGGGUGAGUAAUACGUAAGGAUCUGCCCAGAAGAGGGGGACAACCCGGGGAAACUCGGGCUAAUACCGCAUACUACUCUGAGGAGGAAAGGCUGGAGUAAUCCAGUCACUUUUGGAGGAACUUACGACUGAUUAGCUAGUUGGUGGGGUAAAGGCCUACCAAGGCGAUGAUCGGUAGCUGGUCUGAGAGGAUGAUCAGCCACACUGGGACUGAGACACGGCCCAGACUCCUACGGGAGGCAGCAGUGGGGAAUAUUGGACAAUGGGGGCAACCCUGAUCCAGCGAUGCCGCGUGUGUGAAGAAGGCCUUCGGGUUGUAAAGCACUUUAGGAUGGGAAGAAGGGGUGACGGUUAAUAGUCGUCAUUUUUGACUGUACCAUAAGAAUAAGCACCGGCUAACUCUGUGCCAGCAGCCGCGGUAAUACAGAGGGUGCAAGCGUUAAUCGGAGUUACUGGGCGUAAAGGGCGCGUAGGUGGUUGUGCAAGUAAGGUGUGAAAUCCCUGGGCUUAACCUAGGAAUUGCACUUUAAACUGCAUGGCUAGAGUGCGGUAGAGGGUAGUGGAAUUUCCGGUGUAGCGGUGAAAUGCGUAGAGAUCGGAAGGAACACCAGUGGCGAAGGCGACUACCUGGACCGCAACUGACACUGAGGCGCGAAAGCGUGGGUAGCAAACAGGAUUAGAUACCCUGGUAGUCCACGCUGUAAACGAUGAGAACUAGAUGUUGGUCUGCGCGAGCGGAUUAGUAUCGAAGCUAACGCGAUAAGUUCUCCGCCUGGGGAGUACGGCCGCAAGGUUAAACUCAAAGGAAUUGACGGGG
RNAcentral lists this ribosomal RNA (870 nucleotides) under uncultured Pseudomonadota bacterium. RNAcentral describes it as "bacterial SSU rRNA". It matches the Rfam family "Bacterial small subunit ribosomal RNA", at positions 58 to 918 of the family's 1533-position model. The record is from RNAcentral. Lineage: Bacteria; Pseudomonadati; Pseudomonadota.